UGCCAGACUCCUACGGGAGGCAGCAGUAGGGAAUUUUGCGCAAUGGGGGAAACCCUGACGCAGCAACACCGCGUGAAUGUUAAGCCCUUCGGGGUGUAAAGUUCUGUCAAUAGGGACGAAUUUUGACUGUACCUAUAAAGGAAGCACCGGCUAACUCCGUGCCAGCAGCCGCGGUAAUACGGGGGGUGCAAGCGUUGUCCGGAAUCAUUGGGCGUAAAGAGCGCGUAGGCGGGAUAGCAAGUCAGAUGUGAAAUCCUAUGGCUUAACCAUAGAACUGCAUUUGAAACUGUUAUUCUAGAGUAUGGGAGAGGUAGGUGGAAUUCUUGGUGUAGGGGUAAAAUCCGUAGAGAUCAAGAGGAAUACUCAUUGCGAAGGCGACCUGCUAGAACAUAACUGACGCUGAUGCGCGAAAGCGUGGGGAGCAAACAGGAUUAGAUACCCUUGUAC
Molecule: ribosomal RNA, 447 nt
Filed under: uncultured bacterium
Lineage: Bacteria
Description: partial 16S ribosomal RNA
Rfam family: Bacterial small subunit ribosomal RNA
Source: RNAcentral